AGAGUUUGAUCCUGGCUCAGGACGAACGCUGGCGGCGUGCUUAACACAUGCAAGUCGAACGGAAAGGCCCUUCGGGGUACUCGAGUGGCGAACGGGUGAGUAACACGUGGGUGAUCUGCCCUGCACUUUGGGAUAAGCCUGGGAAACUGGGUCUAAUACCGAAUAUGACCACGCUCUUCAUGGGGUGUGGUGGAAAGCUUUUGCGGUGUGGGAUGGGCCCGCGGCCUAUCAGCUUGUUGGUGGGGUAAUGGCCUACCAAGGCGACGACGGGUAGCCGGCCUGAGAGGGUGACCGGCCACACUGGGACUGAGAUACGGCCCAGACUCCUACGGGAGGCAGCAGUGGGGAAUAUUGCACAAUGGGCGCAAGCCUGAUGCAGCGACGCCGCGUGAGGGAUGACGGCCUUCGGGUUGUAAACCUCUUUCACCAGGGACGAAGCGCAAGUGACGGUACCUGGAGAAGAAGCACCGGCCAACUACGUGCCAGCAGCCGCGGUAAUACGUAGGGUGCGAGCGUUGUCCGGAAUUACUGGGCGUAAAGAGCUCGUAGGUGGUUUGUCGCGUUGUUCGUGAAAACUCACAGCUUAACUGUGGGCGUGCGGGCGAUACGGGCAGACUAGAGUACCGCAGGGGAGACUGGAAUUCCUGGUGUAGCGGUGGAAUGCGCAGAUAUCAGGAGGAACACCGGUGGCGAAGGCGGGUCUCUGGGCAGUAACUGACGCUGAGGAGCGAAAGCGUGGGGAGCGAACAGGAUUAGAUACCCUGGUAGUCCAA
This 773-nucleotide ribosomal RNA is filed under the name uncultured bacterium. Its description in RNAcentral is "bacterial SSU rRNA". It matches the Rfam family "Bacterial small subunit ribosomal RNA", at positions 8 to 798 of the family's 1533-position model. The record is from RNAcentral.